RNAcentral lists this ribosomal RNA (443 nucleotides) under uncultured prokaryote. RNAcentral's name for it is "bacterial SSU rRNA". It matches the Rfam family "Bacterial small subunit ribosomal RNA", at positions 355 to 796 of the family's 1533-position model. The record is from RNAcentral.
UAGGGAAUAUUGGUCAAUGGGCGAGAGCCUGAACCAGCCAUGCCGCGUGCAGGAAGACGGCCUUCUGGGUUGUAAACUGCUUUUAUACGGGAAGAAAAGGGUCCUGCGGGACACAUUGCCGGUACCGUACGAAUAAGCACCGGCUAACUCCGUGCCAGCAGCCGCGGUAAUACGGAGGGUGCAAGCGUUGUCCGGAUUUAUUGGGUUUAAAGGGUACGUAGGCGGCCUAAUAAGUCAGUGGUAAAAUCCUACAGCUCAACUGUAGACGGUCCAUUGAUACUGUUAGGCUUGAGUACUGUUAAGGUAGGCGGAAUUGAUGGUGUAGCGGUGAAAUGCAUAGAUACCAUCAGGAACACCGAUUGCGAAGGCAGCUUACUGGGCAGUAACUGACGCUAAUGUACGAAAGCGUGGGGAGCGAACAGGAUUAGAUACCCCCGUAGUCC